UGAUCUAUAUGUAUAGACGUGCACUG
This 26-nucleotide non-coding RNA is filed under the name Mus musculus (house mouse). Lineage: Eukaryota; Metazoa; Chordata; Mammalia; Rodentia; Muridae. The record is from RNAcentral.